This 538-nucleotide ribosomal RNA is filed under the name Firmicutes bacterium 10827. RNAcentral describes it as "bacterial SSU rRNA". It matches the Rfam family "Bacterial small subunit ribosomal RNA", at positions 1 to 522 of the family's 1533-position model. Lineage: Bacteria; Bacillati; Bacillota. The record is from RNAcentral.
UGGAGAGUUUGAUCCUGGCUCAGGACGAACGCUGGCGGCGUGCCUAACACAUGCAAGUCGAACGGAGAUUUCAGCAAUGGAAUCUUAGUGGCGAACGGGUGAGUAACGCGUAGACAACCUACCUUCUAGAUGGGGACAACACUGCGAAAGUGGUGCUAAUACCGAAUGUUGUAUUUUAGAUGCAUAUUUAAGAUACUAAAGGUGGCCUCUAUUUAUAAGCUACCACUAGAAGAUGGGUCUGCGUCUGAUUAGCUAGUUGGUGAGGUAACGGCUCACCAAGGCGACGAUCAGUAGCCGGYCUGAGAGGAUGAACGGCCACACUGGGACUGAGACACGGCCCAGACUCCUACGGGAGGCAGCAGUGGGGAAUCUUCCGCAAUGGACGAAAGUCUGACGGAGCAACGCCGCGUGAGUGAAGAAGGUUUUCGGAUCGUAAAACUCUGUUUUCAGGGACGAAUGUGCGAUAUGUGAAUAAUGUGUUGUAAUGACGGUACCUGACAAGAAAGCCACGGCUAACUACGUGCCAGCAGCCGCGGUA